AUCACCUGGGGAUCUUGUUAAAAUGCAGCUUCUGUUUCAGAAAGUCCUGGGUAGGGUCUUUGAGUCUGCAUUUCUAAUAAGUCUCCAGGUGAUACCAA
RNAcentral lists this microRNA precursor (98 nucleotides) under Equus caballus (horse). RNAcentral's name for it is "mir-544 microRNA precursor family". It matches the Rfam family "mir-544 microRNA precursor family". Lineage: Eukaryota; Metazoa; Chordata; Mammalia; Perissodactyla; Equidae. The record is from Rfam by way of RNAcentral.